This 99-nucleotide signal recognition particle RNA is filed under the name Acidimicrobiales bacterium. RNAcentral describes it as "signal recognition particle sRNA small type". It matches the Rfam family "Bacterial small signal recognition particle RNA". Rfam says of the family: The signal recognition particle (SRP) is a universally conserved ribonucleoprotein involved in the co-translational targeting of proteins to membranes. Archaeal SRP consists of a 7S RNA and homologues of the eukaryotic SRP19 and SRP54 proteins. In most bacteria, the SRP consists of a 4.5S RNA and the Ffh protein (a homologue of the eukaryotic SRP54 protein). Lineage: Bacteria; Bacillati; Actinomycetota; Acidimicrobiia; Acidimicrobiales. The record is from RNAcentral.
GGUCGGACCCUGUGCGACCGGAGCCCGUGAACCGAGUCAGGACCGGAAGGUAGCAGCUCUCAGCGGACACUCUGGUGCGCCGCAGAUCGUCUGGCCACC